Molecule: transfer RNA, 63 nt
Filed under: pig gut metagenome
Rfam family: tRNA
About the family: Transfer RNA (tRNA) molecules are approximately 80 nucleotides in length.
Source: RNAcentral
CGUUAGUCAAGCGGUUAAGACGACGGCCUCUCACGCCGUAAACGUGGGUUCGAUUCCCGCACG